CACGUAGGGGCCAAGCGUUGUCCGGAUUUAUUGGGCGUAAAGAGCUCGUAGGCGGUUCGACAAGUCGGGUGUGAAAACUCCGGGCUCAACCCGGAGACGCCACCCGAUACUGUCGUGACUGGAGUCCGGUAGGGGAGUGGGGAAUUCCUGGUGUAGCGGUGAAAUGCGCAGAUAUCAGGAGGAACACCGGUGGCGAAAGCGGCGCGCUGGACCUCUUCUGACGCUGAGGCGCGAAAGCCAGGGGAGCAAACGGG
This 254-nucleotide ribosomal RNA is filed under the name uncultured bacterium. Its description in RNAcentral is "partial 16S ribosomal RNA". It matches the Rfam family "Bacterial small subunit ribosomal RNA", at positions 524 to 776 of the family's 1533-position model. The record is from RNAcentral.